This 253-nucleotide ribosomal RNA is filed under the name uncultured bacterium. RNAcentral's name for it is "partial 16S ribosomal RNA". It matches the Rfam family "Bacterial small subunit ribosomal RNA", at positions 524 to 776 of the family's 1533-position model. The record is from RNAcentral.
UACGUAGGUGGCAAGCGUUGUCCGGAUUUACUGGGCGUAAAGAGCGCGCAGGCGGUCGUUCAAGUCGCGUGUGAAAGCCCCCGGCUCAACUGGGGAGGGUCACGCGAUACUGAUCGACUCGAAGGCAGGAGAGGGUAGUGGAAUUCCCGGUGUAGUGGUGAAAUGCGUAGAUAUCGGGAGGAACACCAGUGGCGAAAGCGGCGCUCUGGGCCUAAACUGACGCUGAGGGGCGAAAGCGUGGGGAGCGAACGGG